GGAGCCUGUGCCGAAGAUCCCGGCGUUCAGAUGCCUGUGGAGGCGACAACGACGUCGUGCAUGCGCAUGGUUCGUUAGUGGAUAAACUUCCAACAAUAUCCAAGUUGCAACUAAAGAAACAGAUAACAAAAAUUGACAACGCCGGUACUAGAACUAGCUAUUGGUUCCUGUCCUCUGUUGCAUUUCCCAUCAGGAUUUAGUAACCAGAAUUUACAGAGUUAUUUUGGUUUUGGGUUGGACCACUCGUGCUCCCCACUAACUGCCUCCCUGGCACUGACAUGAUGAAACAUCUAAAAGAGUAAUUUUCUCGAAUGUCAGCAGAACAGAUCUAGAGAUGCAUUGUUUCCGAUCUAAGUGUGCCAGUGCGCGCACCACAACGUCUACUUCAUCACCGUAAUUACAAUCUUUUUCUACUUCCAGCUCACACAUCACACUGAGUUCCCCAUGCAUGCACUCACUGCAUGCCGACUCAUGCGUGUCUCAUUCAUGGCCUUUUCACCGGGCACAGGCAGCCGUGUGCUACGCGUGACUCGUUUUUUUCCGGGAAGCAUGCAAGUAGCAUGUAGAUCGAUGUAGGAGUGCCCGGUGCGGCCGGCUGAGAGGCACGCGACAAAUGCCAGCCGUGAGACUGAGACAAAAUUCUCGCCUCGGCAACGGCACGGUGCAGAUCCGACCAGUACGUACAUCUGACCGGCCGUUCAUUUUCACUACUCCUCCUGCGUCUCCCAUUCUGUGCCGCCUCCUAAUUCGACUUGUCGCCAUCCAGAGCGUGGCACGCAGUUUAAUGCUUACCUGUCAGUCGUCUAUGCGGUGACGUACAGGGCUGCAUGAGGUACAUGCAUCUACGGAUGUGUGACGAUGUAUUUAUUUUGUUACCCUUUUUUUGUCAUGCUUCUUCUUUCCACUGAUGUACUUGCUACAGCACAUGAAUCUCAACGAAGCAUCGGCCAGGCAAAACAUAAGUUAAGCUUUCCUAGUCCGACUGGUAGAUGGACCCACGUACGGAUCGAUGGAGCCAGCAAGUACUACUAACAAACAGUUGAACAGCGUAUAUAUAUGGAUCUGGACGCUAAUAAUCAACGUGAUUAGUUAAGGUACUACUGUAAAACAAACUUUUGCGGGGGGGGUUUGAUGAGUAAAUUGUAUUAUUACCUGAGGAGCUCGACCUGGAGGGCGGGCCCGUCCUUGGUGCGGCGGUGGGAGGUGCCGCCGAAGCCGGUGGUGACGCCGUAGAUGUCGCCGCCGGCGGCGAGGCAGCUGAGGAUCCACUCGCUGCUGGCCUUGACGCGGGGGCGCGCCUCCUCGUCGAGCUCCACGGAGACACCGGCGGCGUCCUUUGCCUGGGCCACGGCGGCCACCUGGCCCACGCGGAGGCUGGCCCCCUCGAUCUUCACCACGGGCUCCCGGAACUGGGCCACCAUCCGCUUCACCUCGUCCAGGUGGCUGCCCGUCAGCUCCGCCGCCGCCGCGCCCCAGUUCAGCGGGUCCUUCUCCGAGAUGGCUCCGUUGCCCGCCAUUAUAUUGAUCGGUCGGUGGCUAAAAUUGAAGGGUUGA
RNAcentral lists this long non-coding RNA (1554 nucleotides) under Brachypodium distachyon (stiff brome). RNAcentral describes it as "long non-coding RNA (BDIS_LNC003949)". Lineage: Eukaryota; Viridiplantae; Streptophyta; Magnoliopsida; Poales; Poaceae. The record is from RNAcentral.